GUCUCACUGAUGUCCAGGUUCCUGGAACCUGCCCUUGUGAUGGGAAUGUGGCUGCCAUGCAGUGGGAUUGCUGCCAGGCUGCAGUGCAAAUUGAAGUGCAAAACUUUCAGGAAGAGCACUUCUGAAGACUGGCUUCUUUUUGAUAUCAGCCCUAGCCCUGCUAGGAGGCCUCUAGUUGCGUGUUGGCAGAAUUUAAGUGUCUGGAGCCUAAAACAGUGAUCCAGAAAACCAGUGCUACAGUAGCUGUAAAGUUCAUCAGAUUCCCACGUCCACCCUGUGCCAGUACUGUUGAGACUUCGCAGAGUCCAGGCUGGAGGC
RNAcentral lists this long non-coding RNA (318 nucleotides) under Struthio camelus australis. RNAcentral's name for it is "lncRNA (ENSSCUG00000012797.1)". The record is from RNAcentral. Lineage: Eukaryota; Metazoa; Chordata; Aves; Struthioniformes; Struthionidae.